Molecule: long non-coding RNA, 1433 nt
Organism: Austrofundulus limnaeus
Lineage: Eukaryota; Metazoa; Chordata; Actinopteri; Cyprinodontiformes; Rivulidae
Exons: 2
Source: RefSeq, a predicted model, not a curated record
GGUCUGAAGGCAACCUAACAUGCUAUUUUUUUUUGUCUGUGGGAGGAAAUCCAAGUACCAAGAAAACCCACACAAGUAUGAGAAGAAUGUGCAAGCUCCACGCAGAAAAACCCUGGAUCCAAAUGGGGAUCAAACACAGGACCUUCUAGAUGUGAGGCAUCAGGGCUAACCACUCCAUCUAAUACUAAAUGAUGUUGGUGUGAAAGAACACGGUGCUAGCUAGCUAAUGUUUAGCUUACUGUUGGAGAUUGUUCAAAAGAAACUAGCAAGAUAAUCUGAGAGCAUUGUGUAUUUAGAUUCUUUAUAUGCUACAAAACAGAAAUUAGAGAACAAAUGUCUUUACAAGCCAUAUAUGAACUUAUCACACCGCUGAACUUUUGUUCAAUUUGAGAUGCAAAAUUUCAUCAACAAGGGAAUAUAAACAGAAAAUUGUUGGCUUGUUGAUUGUGAUAACCAAUAUCUACAUCUCUGUUGUUACCACAGCUGGUUCAGGAAUAACAUCAGACCCAUCAGUGACAUGAACUCAGAAAGUCAGGCAAAUGAGUGGAACUGACCAACCAAACACAGGAGGCGAAUGAAAAAAGUGAUUUUAUUUACAGGUGCUGGGAAAAAUGUACAAGUCCAGAUCUGAAAAAAGGGGAAGAGUCCAGGUGAGUCUUCUUCAAUAUGGAUUGGAUCAUGAAUGAUAAAUGUCUUUAGAUAAUGAAAAUUCUUUCUUACAGGUUUCUGAAGAGUGAGUAGGCUUUGAGGUGAGGUUUCUUUUGUGAGAUAAAAUGGUUUCUUCAGGCAGAGUGGCAAGACCAUAAAAUCUUCCUUGGUUCCUUUUGAUGAUGAUCCUGGGCAGACUAAAAACUCCAGACGGUGCAAUGACGAAGGUUUCCUUGAAGAGCAAAAAAAAUUCAGACUGCACUGUGGAUUCAUCUCCAGUUGCCCCAGACAAGGCCAGCAUCUCCACACCACCUCCUGAUGCACGCGUCUUCACACCACCCUCUGCACCACACCUGAACUCAGUACACACCCAGUGGGAGGACCCUUCACAAUAGGAUCACACAUACUUCCACACAUCUUGCAGAAAGGACGUGCAGGACAAGAUGACUCAGUGUGAUGAGGUUGCAUUUCAUUUUACAAAAAAAAAAAAUCAGGAUUUUUACUGUGUUCUGUGUACUUUUAAACUUCAAUUUUUGUCUUAAAAACAUUUCACUGCAUGUUGAACUUUAUGUAUGUGAUAAAUGUAUUUGAUUUGAUUGCUUCCAUUUUUUAUCUUCUGUUGCUAACAUUUUAUGAAGGCAAUGCAUUCCACAUACAGAGAAAGCUAUUGAACAUGUAUAAUUUUGCAUUUUAGGUAAAAAUGAUUUUAUCAAAACCAUAAAUGUAAUUUGACACUUUUUUAUUGUUUAUCAAGGAGUAAUAAAGUACAUAAAUUCUUACAUUCA